GCUUAUGAUGGUGCAUGCCUGUAAUCCCAGCUCUGGGGAGGCUGAGGCUUAUAGAUCUCAUGAGCCACAAAGUCAUGAGCAGGAGUGGAUUACUGUGAUCAGGUACUCAAACUAAGUUUGGUAUUAAUAUGGUGAGCCCCCAGAAGUGGGAGUCCACCAUGAUGCCUCUGGAGGGACAAACGAGUCCAGAUCUAAAACAGAGCAGAUCAAAGCUCCUAUGUGUACCAGAGUGUAACUGGGCCCGUGAGUAGCCCCUGCACUUCCAGCCUGGGUGAGAUAGGGGACCCA
This 288-nucleotide non-coding RNA is filed under the name Phascolarctos cinereus (koala). Lineage: Eukaryota; Metazoa; Chordata; Mammalia; Diprotodontia; Phascolarctidae. The record is from RNAcentral.